Molecule: long non-coding RNA, 208 nt
Filed under: Elaeis guineensis (African oil palm)
Lineage: Eukaryota; Viridiplantae; Streptophyta; Magnoliopsida; Arecales; Arecaceae
Description: long non-coding RNA (EGUI_LNC081655)
Source: RNAcentral
GCAUCUGACAUGCAUGCGAAGUAGAGGGCCUUCAUAUCCAGACCUCCAUGAAGGUUUAUAUCAGAUAAUUUGAGAUUUGAUCUCUAGUUUCACUACAAUUCAGAUAAGGAUUUGAUCCUUAAAUAAGUAGAAUAUUAGAAAAAAUUUUUAGAUACAACCUGGGCAUUCUGGAGGAAAAUUGUUUCCUUCUCUUCAGUUUGAAGCUGGG